AGUGUACCGCAUGAGACGGUAGACGAGACGCCGCAGAGGCACACACGCACGCACGCACGCACACAGCGUGCAUACACACACACAUAUACACACAAGAGCGGAAAGGGUAGAUGCAGAAAACGCUCUUCGAUUUUGUGCGGAAGGGCACGAGCAGCGGCCCGGCUGCCGCCAACGUGUCUGUCGCCGCGGACAGAGAGCGGCAGCGGCAGCGGCAGUGGCUCUCGGUAUCGAACGGGGAGGACACCACGCCUCGGACGGACUCACCGCCUAAGAAACACGCCAAGACUCGGCGCGAGGGCGGUUGCAGCCGUGGUAACUCGAGGGAGCGCGAAGGGGAGAGUCUGAAGGGCGCCUCUAGAGAUGACGCGAUUGACCUCGAUGCGAGUGUGUCGGUCGCACUGCUGGAGUCGACAUUCCCACCUAGCGAAGACUGCGGUGCCAUUGACAAGGCGAAGCACGUCUCCAGCGGCACUGCUGUGCCUGCCGGUGCUUCUGCUGCUGCGGCUGCCGGUGCCUCCUCCGGCACGGCACGCUCCGAGGCGCCGCAGCUGCAGCCCGCUGCCACCAGCAGCCGCUGGCUUGCCGGCCUAAUCACGAACCUCGAGUGGAGAGACUUCCUGGCUCCCAUUACGGCUGAUUCGUGGCGAAGUGGCGCCUUUGCCCGCAUCGAGCGCUUUCUCGAUGGCGAAAAGGAAAAGGGCAGGGUCAUACUGCCCCCCGCCACGGACAUCUUCAACGCGUUCAACAGUUGCCCGUUUCGCGGCUUGAAGGUGGUCCUGCUCGGUCAGGAUCCGUACCACGAUCUCCACCAAGCGCAUGGGCUCUGCUUCUCCGUCUUGCCCGAAGUGGCGCUUCCGCCGAGCCUGCGUAACAUAUACAAAGAGCUCACGACGGACAUCGCAGGCUUCCAGGCACCAAGGCACGGCUACCUGCAGAGCUGGUCGGAGCAGGGGAUGUUGAUGCUGAACGCGACUUUGACCGUCGAGGCGCACAAGGCCAACUCGCACAGCAAAACCAGUGGCUGGACCGCCUUCACGGAUGCCGUGAUCCAGCACCUUUCCCAGCACCAUCCCAACCGGCUCGUGUUUCUGCUCUGGGGCGGCUACGCGCAGCAGAAGAAGAAGCUCAUAGACGCAAGCCGGCACAUUGUCCUGGAGAGCGUGCACCCAUCACCGUUGAGCGCGAGCCGCGGCUGGUUUGGGUGCCACUGCUUCUCUGCGUGCAACGCGGCGCUGCAGAGCAUGGGCCACCUUCCCAUGCAUUGGCAGCUGCCAUUGAACGCUUCGCUACCCUGACAGCGAAUGGGCAAGAGAGACGGAAGGGAGAGCGGCCGCGACACAGAACACGGUAUAACAUGCGUCAGGUGAGAGCGAUGUAAGGACGCGUGCUUGCUGCGUCUGUAUGUGUAUGCCUCUGUGCUUGUCUACCUUUGCGUUCCAGUCGUAAUGCGUGUCUACGCGAAACACUCGCCCACAGGACUGUGCGGCACCCGUGCUCUCUGCCUUCUCGCCCCCCCUCCCCCUCCCCGAAGAAAAAAAUGGUUUCGCUACCCAAUCAUGCUUGGCUGCGUUUCCGCCCAGCGAAGAGUUUCACGACAGCUUGUGCACACUUCUUGGUGCGGGUAGGGGGGAUGGCAGUGGUAUAGAUGGCAGCUGUUGUACCGAUCCUUUCACGUGAACGUGAUCGUCUUGCACAUCGGACUUACCAACACACACACACACACAUAUGCAAAGACCACCCCUUCCCCUCAAAGGGCGGGCUGACUUGUCUUGACGUCACGAAUGUCUGUGACGCGUUCUAUCCCUUUCCCUUUCUAAUUUUUUUGCCUUGGCUGUUGGGUGGGAAGGCGAGGGGUUGCGGUGGUUGUAGUGGGCAGACCGGGACAUCGGCGCACUGCAUCUGAUAGGUGCUCACUUCCCCUUUCUCUCAUUCUCUACCGCACCUGCUCGUCCCUUUUUUUUGUUUCUCUCGUUACUCUCGUUACUCUCGUCUCUCCCUCUUGCUAUCUGCCCCUGCCUCUCCAUUCUCACUCACGCGCAUGCGUGCCUUGACAG
Molecule: unclassified non-coding RNA, 2054 nt
Filed under: Leishmania donovani
Lineage: Eukaryota; Euglenozoa; Kinetoplastea; Trypanosomatida; Trypanosomatidae
Description: gene:LdHU3.18.0600(CDS-product:uracil-DNA-glycosy lase_putative)
Source: RNAcentral